RNAcentral lists this ribosomal RNA (484 nucleotides) under uncultured bacterium. Its description in RNAcentral is "partial 16S ribosomal RNA". It matches the Rfam family "Bacterial small subunit ribosomal RNA", at positions 30 to 507 of the family's 1533-position model. The record is from RNAcentral.
AUUGAACGCUGGCGGCAGGCCUAACACAUGCAAGUCGAGCGGAUGAAGGGAGCUUGCUCCUGGAUUCAGCGGCGGACGGGUGAGUAAUGCCUAGGAAUCUGCCUGGUAGUGGGGGAUAACGUCCGGAAACGGGCGCUAAUACCGCAUACGUCCUGAGGGAGAAAGUGGGGGAUCUUCGGACCUCACGCUAUCAGAUGAGCCUAGGUCGGAUUAGCUAGUUGGUGGGGUAAAGGCCUACCAAGGCGACGAUCCGUAACUGGUCUGAGGGGAUGAUCAGUCACACUGGAACUGAGACGCGGUCCAGACUCCUACGGGAGGCAGCAGUGGGGAAUAUUGGACAAUGGGCGAAAGCCUGAUCCAGCCAUGCCGCGUGUGUGAAGAAGGUCUUCGGAUUGUAAAGCACUUUAAGUUGGGAGGAAGGGCAGUAAGUUAAUACCUUGCUGUUUUGACGUUACCAACAGAAUAAGCACCGGCUAACUUCGUG